CCACGUAGGGAGCAAGCGUUGUCCGGAUUUAUUGGGCGUAAAGAGCUCGUAGGCGGUUUUGUAAGUCGGAUGUGAAAACUCAGGGCCCAACCCUGAGACGCCAUCCGAUACUGCAAUGACUAGAGUCCGGUAGGGGAGCAUGGAAUUCCUGGUGUAGCGGUGGAAUGCGCAGAUAUCAGGAGGAACACCAGUGGCGAAGGCGGUGCUCUGGGCCGGUACUGACGCUGAGGAGCGAAAGCAUGGGGAGCAAACAGGAUUAGAAACCCUAGUAGUCC
Molecule: ribosomal RNA, 275 nt
Filed under: uncultured bacterium
Lineage: Bacteria
Description: partial 16S ribosomal RNA
Rfam family: Bacterial small subunit ribosomal RNA
Source: RNAcentral